UAAGACGAAGGAUCCAAGCGUUGUCCGGAUUUACUGGGUUUAAAGGGUGCGUAGGCGGAAAUUUAAGUCAGUGGUGAAAGCCUCCCGCUUAACGGGAGAACUGCCAUUGAAACUGGACUUCUUGAAUAUGGUUGAGGUAGAUGGAAUAUAACAUGUAGCGGUGAAAUGCUUAGAUAUGUUAUAGAACACCGAUUGCGAAGGCAGUCUGCUAAGCCAUAAUUGACGCUGAGGCACGAAAGCAUGGGGAGCAAACAGG
RNAcentral lists this ribosomal RNA (256 nucleotides) under uncultured bacterium. Its description in RNAcentral is "partial 16S ribosomal RNA". It matches the Rfam family "Bacterial small subunit ribosomal RNA", at positions 521 to 776 of the family's 1533-position model. The record is from RNAcentral.